Molecule: signal recognition particle RNA, 96 nt
Filed under: Bifidobacteriaceae bacterium
Lineage: Bacteria; Bacillati; Actinomycetota; Actinomycetes; Bifidobacteriales; Bifidobacteriaceae
Description: signal recognition particle sRNA small type
Rfam family: Bacterial small signal recognition particle RNA
About the family: The signal recognition particle (SRP) is a universally conserved ribonucleoprotein involved in the co-translational targeting of proteins to membranes. Archaeal SRP consists of a 7S RNA and homologues of the eukaryotic SRP19 and SRP54 proteins. In most bacteria, the SRP consists of a 4.5S RNA and the Ffh protein (a homologue of the eukaryotic SRP54 protein).
Source: RNAcentral
UUUAGCCCCCCGUGCGGCGUCAACUUGCUGAAUCCCCCAGGGCCGGAAGGCAGCAAGGGCAGGUGAGCUCUGACGGGUGUGCGGGGGGUCUUUUUC